UACCAGCACCCCGAGUGGUCGGGACGAUUAUUGGGCCUGAAGCAUCCGUAGCCGGUCAUGCAAGUCUUCCGUUAAAUCCAGCCGCUCAACGGUUGGGCUGCGGAGGAUACUACGUGGCUAGGAGGCGGGAGAGGCAAGCGGUACUCAGUGGGUAGGGGUAAAAUCCUUUGAUCCAUUGAAGACCACCAGUGGCGAAGGCGGCUUGCCAGAACGCGCUCGACGGUGAGGGAUGAAAGCUGGGGGAGCAAACCGG
This 253-nucleotide ribosomal RNA is filed under the name uncultured bacterium. RNAcentral's name for it is "partial 16S ribosomal RNA". It matches the Rfam family "Archaeal small subunit ribosomal RNA", at positions 474 to 727 of the family's 1478-position model. The record is from RNAcentral.